RNAcentral lists this long non-coding RNA (310 nucleotides) under Homo sapiens (human). RNAcentral's name for it is "HSALNT0331503". The record is from RNAcentral. Lineage: Eukaryota; Metazoa; Chordata; Mammalia; Primates; Hominidae.
ACCGCCCCGGGCCUUGGGCGGGGCGGGGGCCAGGGAAGGGCGUGCGCAGGAUUGGGGAGCACGUUUUGCGUCUUGCUGUGCGUGAGGAAGCGGGGAUCCAGGUCAAGGCUAUGGAAAGGUCAGGGAAGGGUGUCAGUGCGCCCGUCCUGCAGGGAGUCCAGAUCCGAGAGGCAGGACUUUGAAAUGACCCUGUCCUCAGCCUGGAGGAUGCGGUAUUCUGAUUGUCUGGUGCUGUGUCAACUGGGCCUGCCUCUGGGAUAGUGUUGUGGCUGCCCCACGAGAACCCUAUAUGCCAGUUCCAGAAGCAAAA